GUGUGUUUAUUAUAAUUAUUAUUAUUUUUAUUUUGCGUUUAAAAGAUUUUAACUCACG
RNAcentral lists this transfer RNA (58 nucleotides) under Spirocerca lupi. RNAcentral describes it as "tRNA-Ala". Lineage: Eukaryota; Metazoa; Nematoda; Chromadorea; Rhabditida; Thelaziidae. The record is from RNAcentral.